This 520-nucleotide ribosomal RNA is filed under the name uncultured bacterium. RNAcentral's name for it is "bacterial SSU rRNA". It matches the Rfam family "Bacterial small subunit ribosomal RNA", at positions 24 to 518 of the family's 1533-position model. The record is from RNAcentral.
UCAGGACGAACGCUGGCGGCGUGCCUAAUACAUGCAAGUCGAACGGUCUUUCUAUGGAAGCUUGCUCCACUGAGAAGAUAGUGGCGAACGGGUGAGUAACACGUGGGUAACCUGCCCAUAAGAGGGGGAUAACAUCCGGAAACGGGUGCUAAUACCGCAUAGUUUUCUUGAUCGCAUGACUGAGAAAGGAAAGACGGCCUUUGUGCUGUCGCUUAUGGAUGGACUCGCGGCGUAUUAGUUAGUUGGUGAGGUAACGGCUCACCAAGACGAUGAUACGUAGCCGACCUGAGAGGGUGAUCGGCCACAUUGGGACUGAGACACGGCCCAAACUCCUACGGGAGGCAGCAGUAGGGAAUCUUCCGCAAUGGACGAAAGUCUGACGGAGCAACGCCGCGUGAGUGAAAGAAGGUUUUCGGAUCGUAAAACUCUGUUGUCAGAGAAGAACAAGUUGGAGAGUAACUGCUCCAGCCUUGACGGUAUCUGACCAGAAAGCCACGGCUAACUACGUGCCAGCCGCCGC